RNAcentral lists this ribosomal RNA (524 nucleotides) under uncultured Acaulospora. Its description in RNAcentral is "SSU rRNA". It matches the Rfam family "Eukaryotic small subunit ribosomal RNA", at positions 569 to 1092 of the family's 1831-position model. The record is from RNAcentral. Lineage: Eukaryota; Fungi; Glomeromycota; Glomeromycetes; Diversisporales; Acaulosporaceae.
AGCAGCCGCGGUAAUUCCAGCUCCAAUAGCGUAUAUUAAAGUUGUUGCAGUUAAAAAGCUCGUAGUUGAAUUUCGGGGUCUGUCCAUUGGUCGGGCUUCACGGUCCGUACUGGUGAGAUGGGUUCCUACCUUCUGAAUAACCAGCAUGCCAUUUAGUUGGUGCGUUGGGGAAGCAGAGCUAUUACCUUGAAAAAAUUAGAGUGCUUAAAGCAGGCUAGUGCUUGAAUAGAUUAGCAUGGAAUAAUAAAAUAGGACGGCAUGGUUCUAUUUUGUUGGUUUCUAGGAUCACCGUAAUGAUUAAUAGGGAUAGUUGGGGGCAUUAGUAUUCAAUUGUCAGAGGUGAAAUUCUUGGAUUUAUUGAAGACUAACUUCUGCGAAAGCAUUUGCCAAGGAUGUUUUCAUUAAUCAAGAACGAAAGUUAGGGGAUCGAAGACGAUCAGAUACCGUCGUAGUCUUAACCAUAAACUAUGCCGACUAGGGAUCGGACGAAGUUAAUUUUAUAAUGACGCGUUCGGCACCUUACG